This is a small nuclear RNA of Trichechus manatus latirostris (Florida manatee), 102 nucleotides long. Lineage: Eukaryota; Metazoa; Chordata; Mammalia; Sirenia; Trichechidae. The record is from RefSeq and is a predicted model, not a curated record.
AUUUUGUCAGUAGUAUAUACUAAAAUUGGAAUGAUACAGAGAAGAUUAAGGUGGCCUCUCUGUAAGGAUGACAUGCAAAUUCAUGAGGCAUUCCAUAUUUUU